UCCCUUGUGGCUCAGCUGGUAAAGAAUCCACCUGCAAUGCGGGAGACCCAGGUUUGAUCCCUGGCUUGGGAA
RNAcentral lists this transfer RNA (72 nucleotides) under Bos taurus (domestic cattle). It matches the Rfam family "tRNA". Rfam says of the family: Transfer RNA (tRNA) molecules are approximately 80 nucleotides in length. Their secondary structure includes four short double-helical elements and three loops (D, anti-codon, and T loops). RNAcentral also lists the same sequence under 5 other names. Lineage: Eukaryota; Metazoa; Chordata; Mammalia; Artiodactyla; Bovidae. The record is from Rfam by way of RNAcentral.